UACGGCCGUAAUUCAUUGUAUCGAAAAAAGAUAGCAGGGUAGAUACAACACCCUUGCUUGACCCCAACACAAAUAUGGAAUUGUCUGUGAAAACGAUAAAUAAAAAAAAUUAAAUGAAGAAAAGAUGGACACUAAAACUUUGAAAUGUGCUUCGUUCUAUGUGAUAAUUAUUUCGGUCAUUGGGGGAAUUUAUUGCAGUCAUUUUUCACGGAUGAGAACGAGGCAAAAUAACGCAAGAAGGCAAAAUUUAGCUGAUACAGUAUUAAGGAACAGUUUAACAUACGAAGCAAUCAUCUUAGAGCUACUGAAGAGAAGACUUGGAAUUACACGACAGCAGACGAUUGUAACCAAUCCAGUGACUGUUAGUUUACCAGACAAUUUUAUUCAAGAAAAUAUACAGACAAUUAGAAAUAAGCGUCCACAUCUUCAGACAUCUAGGAAUACACGACCUCCUCCACACAAAACCAUGACCACUCGACCACCCACACAGUCAUUCAGGAACACCCGACCGCCCACACAGUCAUCCAGGAACACCAGACCACCCCCGCAGUCAUUCAGGAACACCCGACCACCAACGCAGUCAUUCAGGAACAUCCGACCACCAACGCAAAGUAGAAACAUAAUUCAUUCAACAAAGCCACCACCUCAAACAGGAAUAAGAAAUUUAAACAAUAACCAAGUUGCUGAUCAAAUUUAUGAAUAUAAUAUAAUCAAGAACUAUUUUGGAGGCCACACACUAAAAGGACUAUUAAACGAGUUAUUUUAGUGAAAUAUUGGUGUUUUAACAGUAAGAAUAAAACUGGUCAGUUUGUGUCUUUUCUUCCAA
Molecule: long non-coding RNA, 826 nt
Organism: Mytilus californianus (California mussel)
Lineage: Eukaryota; Metazoa; Mollusca; Bivalvia; Mytilida; Mytilidae
Exons: 3
Source: RefSeq, a predicted model, not a curated record